This 857-nucleotide ribosomal RNA is filed under the name Spathularia sp. Q. Zhao 8207. Its description in RNAcentral is "eukaryotic LSU rRNA". It matches the Rfam family "Eukaryotic large subunit ribosomal RNA", at positions 65 to 939 of the family's 3401-position model. Lineage: Eukaryota; Fungi; Ascomycota; Leotiomycetes; Rhytismatales; Cudoniaceae. RNAcentral also lists the same sequence under 3 other names. The record is from RNAcentral.
CCAACAGGGAUUGCCUCAGUAACGGCGAGUGAAGCGGCAACAGCUCAAAUUUGAAAGCUGGCUCUUUCAGGGUCCGCGUUGUAAUUUGUAGAGGAUGCUUCGGGUGCGGCGCUGGUCUAAGUUCUUUGGAACAAGACGUCAUAGAGGGUGAGAAUCCCGUAUGUGACUAGCUGCCUGUGCCUGUGUGAAGCUCCUUCGACGAGUCGAGUUGUUUGGGAAUGCAGCUCAAAAUGGGUGGUGUACUUCAUCUAAAGCUAAAUAUUGGCCAGAGACCGAUAGCGCACAAGUAGAGUGAUCGAAAGAUGAAAAGCACUUUGGAAAGAGAGUUAAACAGUACGUGAAAUUGUUGAAAGGGAAGCGCUUGCAAUCAGACUUGCGCGGCGUCGAUCAGCCUGGGUUCUCCCUGGUGCACUCGGCGCUGCUCAGGCCAGCAUCAGUUUCAGCGGUUGGAUAAAGGCCUAGGGAACGUGGGUUACUUCGGUGACUGUUAUAGCCCUAGGUGCAAUGCAGCCUGCUGGGACUGAGGACCGCGCUUCGGCUAGGAUGCUGGCGUAAUGGUUGUAAGCGACCCGUCUUGAAACACGGACCAAGGAGUCUAACAUCUAUGCGAGUUUUUGGGUGUCAAACCCAUAAGCGUAAUGAAAGUGAACGGAGGUGAGAACCCUUAAGGGUGCAUCAUCGACCGAUCCUGAUGUCUUCGGAUGGAUUUGAGUAAGAGCAUAGCUGUUGGGACCCGAAAGAUGGUGAUCUAUACUUGAAUAGGGUGAAGCCAGAGGAAACUCUGGUGGAGGCUCGCAGCGGUUCUGACGUGCAAAUCGAUCGUCAAAUUUGGGUAUAGGGGCGAAAGACUAAUCGAA